UCCCACUAACCAAUUUUUAUGGGGAACUGAGUUAAUUCAUCAGUUUCUAAAAUCUAGAGCAACCAUAGAAAUAUUGAAUUCAUUGUUUUGACUUUUUGCCCAUCAAUUUCGGUCAAAUAUUUUAAUCAAAAUAGAAACUUAAAGUCUAUGAAAGAAGACUAAUGUAUACCCUGAGGAGCACAUCUCACACUCCUGCUUUAGCUCAUUCUUUCUCAGGAAACAAAAUGUUUUUAAAGACAAACAUCUUAACACAUCUGGUGUGGUUUUCUAGUUAUCCCAUUUAAGCCAAAGGGAAAAAAAAAAGUGGUAUCAUCUGUUUUUCUUUUAUACGUUUUGAAACAUGAGUCUCCAAACGCUAUUUCCUAACAUAUGUCAAUUUAACAUCUGCCAGUUCCUAACUGAUAGCCAGAAACAGCCGCACUGGCGGUACCUGCAAUAGUGUCAAGGUAUUUCCCAUUACAACUGUCUUCACUUUGGCAUUGUCAGUAAUAUUUUUGCUCUAGGGGUAGCCUAUUUCCCUAACUUGAAGGAGACACGUGAAUUAGAAGCACAGAGCAGGAGGAAUAAAUAGGACGAUGUCUUGACAGUUAUAUGGAAGUGUAGCAGAGGCAAGUUUUCCCAAAAAAGUACUAGAUAAGAAAAUCUACGUCACGGGUCACAGAUUGAACUGCUUCUCCUGGCGGAAACAUGCUUUACUAUACCACAUCCUAAUUUCUCCUUGUUAUCUGCUAUCAAGAAUAUUUGCAAACAGAAUUAAGAU
Molecule: long non-coding RNA, 760 nt
Filed under: Lynx pardinus (Iberian lynx)
Lineage: Eukaryota; Metazoa; Chordata; Mammalia; Carnivora; Felidae
Source: RNAcentral